UACGGAGGGUGCAAGCGUUAUCCGGAUUUACUGGGUUUAAAGGGUACGUAGGCGGUUAAAUAAGUCAGAUGUGAAAUGCCCGAGCUCAACUUGGGAGCUGCAUUUGAAACUGUUUAACUUGAGUUAAGUGGAAGUACAUGGAAUGCAUCAUGUAGCGGUGAAAUGCAUAGAUAUGAUGUAGAACACCAAUAGCGAAGGCAGUGUACUAUACUUUAACUGACGCUGAGGUACGAAAGCGUGGGUAGCGAACAGG
Molecule: ribosomal RNA, 253 nt
Filed under: uncultured bacterium
Lineage: Bacteria
Description: partial 16S ribosomal RNA
Rfam family: Bacterial small subunit ribosomal RNA
Source: RNAcentral